CACGUAGGGGCGAGCGUUGUCCGGAAUUAUUGGGCGUAAAGAGCGCGCAGGUGGUUGAUUAAGUCUGAUGUGAAAGCCCACGGCUUAACCGUGGAGGGUCAUUGGAAACUGGUCGACUUGAGUGCAGAAGAGGGAAGUGGAAUUCCAUGUGUAGCGGUGAAAUACGUAGAGAUAUGGAGGAACACCAGUGGCGAAGGCGGCUUCCUGGUCUGUAACUGACACUGAGGCGCGAAAGCGUGGGGAGCAAACAGGAUUAGAUACCCUGGUA
This 268-nucleotide ribosomal RNA is filed under the name uncultured prokaryote. RNAcentral describes it as "partial 16S ribosomal RNA". It matches the Rfam family "Bacterial small subunit ribosomal RNA", at positions 524 to 792 of the family's 1533-position model. The record is from RNAcentral.